Molecule: long non-coding RNA, 5439 nt
Organism: Orbicella faveolata
Lineage: Eukaryota; Metazoa; Cnidaria; Anthozoa; Scleractinia; Merulinidae
Source: RefSeq, a predicted model, not a curated record
GACAUGGCACAACUUACCGUAUUUCUCUUAUCCGAGUUUAUGAUUCUCUUCAGCUCUAACAGUGCCUUCCGAAAGGCCAAACUAACAUUCAUGAGACAGGCGAAAAAUCGCCAUUCCUCCACCUCAUUCCUCCGCCAUUUUGAAUUACACGUCAUUGACUAUGCGCUCUGUGAUUGUCGGCUGACGCAUCGCGGGCGCAGAAUGGACCGCAUUGCGUGUUCAGGUGUUUGUAGAAAGUCACGCAUUUGACAUAUCGUGAAUAUGCUCUAAGAAACCUGUCAUUAGGGUGAAGGACACGCAAUGUUCUGCACGAACAUGAAAAGAUAAUAAUGGUACUGCAAUUGAAAUAGCUUGUACGGGAACAAAGCAUUUCUUCCGAUGAUCACAACGUUUUUCUGUUGGCACGCGAACUGAGACCAAGCGAACAGAAAACGCUUUUUCCUCUGUUCAUGAUAAUUUGGUUAUCAAUAUGUGGCUUUAAAGCAGACAGACAGGUCGGUAAGUUGCUUUUCUAGCUUGUUGUUUUACGCAUUUUAAUCUGAGGCGGCCCACAUUAAAACGCUAUUUAUAAAUUCCGCCGUUUUCUUUUUAAGAUAUUUAAAGUUUCACUAUCUUUUCAAAGAAUCAAAAACUGAAUAAAACUUCAUCAGAUGAACCAAAGAGCACCCAAGUUGAGCGCACUUAAACGAAACAGAGAACUUAAAUUUUAUUGCUGUCAAAAACUUGGCAAGAGAUUCAAGCAGUUUACCUGUAGCGUUUACCGGCAGUAAAUUUUGGAAAUCUAUUUCUUUCUUUCUUUAGUUUUCUUUAGUUUUUUGUUUCAAGUUCCAGUAGUGUUAUCGACUUCGAAAUUUAAUUGCCAUUCAGCAGAAGACAUUAAUAUAUGACCCGAAUGACCCUCGCUGAACAGUCAACCCAACGCGCACAGAAAGUGCUAGUAGCUAGCGGAAAGUUAGCUGUUUGUUCAGGUGGGUAGAUCAUUUACGCGAGACAAAUAAUUAAGGCAAGUUCAAAACCCUUCUUGUUCAGUUAAAAGUUCCAUUUGCAAUAGUUUCCUUCUAGCGAAGUGAUACAAAUAUGAUGAAGCUCUUGGCAAAUUAUCCUGUAUCUCACGUGGAAACACCAUAAAUCUAUCGAUAUCAAGUAAAUAUUUUACAAAAUACCGGUUUCUUUGAAGUGCGAUCUGGAGGGAGUUUCAUUGGUUUUUUCGUGACCUCUUCCUGUGCUAUGAUUGGUCGAAACCGCUUGAAUAUCUGCCCCCUCUCAGCAAGCCACGACGAUAGCAUUUCGUUUUGGUAAAGUCACGAAACAAGAAAAUCAAAUUUUUGAAGUCAAAAAUUCGACACAGUCGGAAAUUCAUUUCACAAAGGCACUGUAGUUCACGAUUCAGGUUGCAUGAACGAGCGUAAAGAAAUUUUCCCCUCGUAUUCCUGUUGUUCGUGACACAAAAUUCAAACGACACUGGGUUAUUAAUACACAUAAAUUCGUAGUGUGAUUGGUUCGAUUGGCAUCUCUUUAACAUAACUCUCGCUUCUGGGAAGAUUAGGUUUUAUUUAGCUCACACCACGCUUGAUCUGUUCUUGAAGAAAACACCUUGGGCUGGCGACAAAGUGAUACCUUUCUGCGGGGCAUCGUCGCGGCAUUUCCAAAAGGUACCUGAAACAAAAUGCAAACGCACUCUACGACCUCUUCGUGAGAGAUUUUAGUCUUGUAAAAGAGGUAGCAUUGAAGCUUCGUUGUAACGAAAGUUUACUCAUGCGAUAAUGAAGCCAAAGAACGACACGAAGCAGAACUUUGGACAUUUAAUGUUGCCUAUCUUUGACAGUCGUGGAAUAUUCCUUGUCUUCAACGUUUGGACUCACUGGCCUUGAAGUUCAUCCAUUUUUCAUCGGUAGCUUUCGUGUGGAUCGGCGUCCAAAGAUUUCCGGUAGGAUUCAAACGUUCUUUACAGCGCGUUUAUUCUAAUUUCAAGGUGUUAGACGCAAUUUAUCUAACAAUUUUACCAUGUAGUGUUAUUUCCCCACAAGGUUGUGUUAGUGCUAUAUGCCCCUUUAGCUUUGUAGCCGUAGUUUGGCCUAUUCUCUCGCUCCAGAGCAAACUAUGAUAUCAAUUUCAACAUGUCACGAGUUGUAAAUCGGGUGCCCUGUCAUUAUAAUCAUUCACAAUUCUUCCUUUGAAAGCUUAUUUGGUUCCAGGUGUCGAUAGGUUUUUUUAUUGCAUCUUUUUUUACUUGUAAGUUUGACUAUUUCUGACGGACGAAGACGUAUGGAAACGUAUGCUAAAGUGGAUUUUGGGUGCACCCACCCAAAUUUGUGUGCUUAGAUGCUCGACAAAAUAAACCGAUUAUAGGCUAUUUUUCAUUUUCAAACCUCCAGGAUGCCUCUUCAUGGAAAAUUCAGUGUUAGGGAUGACUUUUCUCGAUUACUGUUCAGUGUUAAUGGAUCGCUACAGAAAUUGUUACAAGGAUGCUGCCGUUUGUGUUGUCUCGCGCGUUUAUCACUGUAUUUCGUAACGUUGCACGAGGUGAUUUUUAUUAACUUCACAAAUUUCCGCUCAGUAAUGAAAGCUGGAAUGCUUCAUUUUCAAUAAACGUAAGAACAAGUCUCUUGAAGCAGUGGCUCGUGGAGCAUAUAAGCGCCAAGGCAGUUUUUGCCAAAAUCCAAUAUGGCGCCCCUGUUAAUUAUGGGCCACGAGGCCAACUAUCAAUCAACGCAAUGGUUGUGGUAAAAAGACAUUGUCCUCGAGGUUAAGGAUGGUUUUCUAUCGUUUGCUUUCCCAGCACAAUCAAGGCAGUUCUUAUGUUUCAUCUAAAUGGUUUUAUGGUACACGAAGACGAUAUCUUUUAGACAGAAUCGAUAUAGGGUAUGAUAAUGGUAAAAUACUGCUUUUUAGUUUUCACUGGAUUUAUUUUAAAGCGGAUUUUCGGACUGUAAUCUUUUAUUUUUGGGUACUGUUCUGUUAAUUUAGAGUACAGUUUGCCUUUUUCGUUCUUUUUUGCUUUUAUUUACCGUUAAACAUUACGUGUCGGUCUGGUCGCCGGCUCUGGGAACAGAGACUAACCAUGUGGAAAUGGUCAGUUAUCGGAUGAUAGAUUAUGUCAGUAGUGCCAUUUCCUCCGCUCAAAAUAUUAAACGAUAAGCGAACCAAACAAUACAAAUGUUUCGUUUACGUUUAUCGGUUCCAGUCUGAUCAGUUUGCAUUGCACAUCUGUGGAGGUGGCAUUUUCUAGUGUUGCUGUAGAGAUCUAAAAAUUCGAGUUUCAAGUGUUCAAGUGGUUGAUUCCGGCUUUCAAUAACACCCAGCACUGCUGGGCUUAAUUUAUGCCCCAGAGCAACGAAAACAUUCCAAGCAAAGAGAUAUCUUUUAAGUUAGGAACACAGUCAACCGACGUGCUUCAUGUUAAUAUGUCAAUAACGUUGUUUCUAUAUAUUGCAUGAUUUCAAGACAUUUGGAACAAAGAUUCACCGUUGUUUCACCUGGCCAAGCCAGAUACUGGCACGAAAGGUAUCUUUAGUUUUAAGCCAAUUGAAAUAUUUCAGUGUAACUUCGAGAUGUUUGGCGUUUUUGUAUUAUGCCGAAGAAUUGAAUAUUAAAUUGCUGGGGUGAAAUAUGCAAAGAGUGGGAUUACAGCUUGACUAAUCCCAACUCGGAUAUCAGUUUUGAAAUGCAGUGUCACGAUUUUUGAGGGUCUUGAGGUGUGUCUGACUCGGAGUCCUACGAAGUGAAAGCAUGUUGAGGGUGUUAAAUCCUUGCUCAAUCAUUGCAUUUGCAAGACUUUGCCUCUCUCGUAAAAGUGUUACUAGAAAUAAAACUAUAAACUAAUGAUUGAAAAACGGUUGCAAUUGCCAAUUUUCCUUCAAAAACUCCAUAAACACGUGAUUUGAAAACUGCGAAUGUAAAACAGUGUAUUUUAGUGCUUGUUCUGAAACGUAUCAGUAUUCUCCAAGGUUUCUUUGGUCUGUUUUAACAAAAAGGCAAUUUUCUAUAAAUGAUGUCUUACUUAUUACCUUCAGCGCAGAAUGAUCCAUUUAUAUUCUAAAAUCCAUACCUGGUGAGCCCCGCUUCUCACUAGGCUUACCUUAAAACGUUUGUUUACUCUAUAGAAGAUGCAAAUAUCAUAAAAUAGGCCUUGUGGAUAUAUCACUUCUGAUUGUUUCAGAUUGUCUGGACAAGUGUGUCAUCGUGAACGUGGAAAGCCGAGUAUUGUGAGAAACACAUUUGUGAAGUAAGGUAGCAAGGCAGCGUUAAAAACACGAUAACAUUAUAAGAACUCGUAGGAAGACAGCGAUUGCUUAUAAGUAAAGAUGAGGUACAAAAGUCCAGUUUUAGCUCACCCUGUAGUGGCGUAUACUCCAGGCACGUUUCGUUUCUGCUACUUGUAUGUUCUUGCACGUUCAUCGAUGUAAGAAGUACAAGUGGUAGGGAGGGGGUGUCAACAAUUCAAGACGCCAUGCAUUAGUUUUGAACUGCCUUAGGUCUACGUUAAUUCAUUGCUGUAGGAUCCCUUAGACUUUUCGACCUUAGGCAAGAAUUUAACGUGUAUAUUGUUCAGAUUUUUACAGGAAUUUUCCUGUACAAAGCGGUUUUAGAUUAAAUGUAGCGAAACCUCAGGAUAAAUGGUCUCAAACAAUGGAGAGUAAAGGUAAACCAAAAAAGAAAAUAAAUAGAAAAGUACAGUUAGUUCAUUUUUAGCAAGACGGUAACAGAUAACAAAAAGCAGAGUAUGGAACGCGGUGUAUAGUGUACGAAAUGAUCUUUUUUGUUGUGGCAGUUAUAGAAUUUUUUCACUUGAGUGUCAAAGUUCAGACUGAACUCGCAGCUAGAGUAAGUGGGUGAUUGAAAAUCACUAAACGUAAUGAGAUUAGCCCCUCCUCCAACUAGAUCACCAAGUACACUAUAACGAGGAAUUUAGCUACAAGUUGCUGAUAGGUUACGUUAGUUGAAGAGCAUGCAAGCUCCCCUGAAGAAAACAAUAUAAAGUUCAAGGUAGCUACAAUUAGUUGUAUAGAGGCAGAUGGUGACAAAUAAUUGUCAUUUUAAACAUACUUGAUACUUUCAAUGCGGUGAUACAAAGAGCUCGAUUUGAAUUAUAACCAUAAGUUGCACUAGCGAAGGCAACUUCUAAGCUAAUGCUAAAUAAUUGUUUUUGGUUGGUCAGUUUUGCUCACAGCUGAACUGUAUACAGAUUAUUAAGGAAUGAUCAAGGAUUUAAGAGUGAAACGCUUGGAUUUAGUGUCAAGUACCCACCACGUGUAUUCGACGAGGUGCGAAAUCGUUUUAUGGUAUUGAGUAGAGAGAUGAUAAUCGUGAGAAUUAGAAAAAAACCUCGUUGGAAUUUAAAGAAUCCUUUUUAGAAAGUUGAAGUAAUCUGUGUCUAUUAAUAAAUGCUGUAAUAUUUAAUUGUGAAGACCACCAAAUAAACCCAUUUCUUGAGUCAUA